CCCGGGCCUUGUACACACCGCCCGUCACACCAUGGGAGUUGGUUUUACCCGAAGGCGGCGCGCCAACCGCAAGGAGGCAGUCGACCACGGUAAGGUCAGCGACUGGGGUG
Molecule: ribosomal RNA, 110 nt
Filed under: uncultured bacterium
Lineage: Bacteria
Description: partial 16S ribosomal RNA
Rfam family: Bacterial small subunit ribosomal RNA
Source: RNAcentral